GGCUAACGCAGGGAACUGAAACAUCUAAGUACCUGCAGGAAAAGAAAUCAACCGAGAUUCCCUUAGUAGUGGCGAGCGAACGGGGACCAGCCCUUAAGCUGGUUUGAGAUUAGUGGAACGCUCUGGAAAGUGCGGCCAUAGUGGGUGAUAGCCCUGUACGCGAAAGGAUCUUAGAAGUGAAAUCGAGUAGGACGGAGCACGAGAAACUUUGUCUGAAUAUGGGGGGACCAUCCUCCAAGGCUAAAUACUACUGACUGACCGAUAGUGAACUAGUACCGUGAGGGAAAGGCGAAAAGAACCCCGGCGAGGGGAGUGAAACAGAACCUGAAACCGUGUACGUACAAGCAGUGGGAGC
Molecule: ribosomal RNA, 355 nt
Filed under: Chaetoceros curvisetus
Lineage: Eukaryota; Bacillariophyta; Thalassiosirophyceae; Chaetocerotales; Chaetocerotaceae
Description: partial Bacterial large subunit ribosomal RNA
Rfam family: Bacterial large subunit ribosomal RNA
Source: RNAcentral